GGGGAUGUGGCUCAGUGGUAGAGCGCUCACCUUGCAUACGUGAGGCACUGGGUUCGAUCCUCAGCCCCA
Molecule: transfer RNA, 69 nt
Filed under: Ictidomys tridecemlineatus (thirteen-lined ground squirrel)
Lineage: Eukaryota; Metazoa; Chordata; Mammalia; Rodentia; Sciuridae
Description: Spermophilus tridecemlineatus (thirteen-lined ground squirrel) tRNA
Rfam family: tRNA
About the family: Transfer RNA (tRNA) molecules are approximately 80 nucleotides in length. Their secondary structure includes four short double-helical elements and three loops (D, anti-codon, and T loops).
Source: Rfam by way of RNAcentral